Gadus chalcogrammus (walleye pollock) is the source of this 1166-nucleotide RNA transcript. It is a transcript of the gene named prostatic spermine-binding protein-like, with no coding region annotated. The record is from RefSeq and is a predicted model, not a curated record. The transcript has 7 exons. Lineage: Eukaryota; Metazoa; Chordata; Actinopteri; Gadiformes; Gadidae.
AAGUUCCCCCACAGGGGAGGCAAUAACAGAAAGCUGUGCGACAUCUCACAGAUCCCAUCAACAGGAUGAUCUCUAUCCUUUUGUUCGCUGCGGCGUGGGUUGCUUGCCUGGCACAAUCCAAUGAGUUCGCAUCGUACUCCCCAGCCGUCGGAUCAGGGCUUGGAACUCCCUUCUUGUCCUCAGGAGAGGGAAUCAUCACAGGCGUGAAAGUCUGGGAGGUCCCUAAUAGCCACAUUGCUGGCAUCCAGUUGCGUCAUGACAACAACUGGGGCGUUCUUCUUGGUCUCGUCAGCCCCAAUGAACUAAGCAUUGACCUAUUUGAAGGAGAGACCAUUACUCAGGUGUCUGGUAAAUUCAACCCAGAGGACCUGAUUUGUCAGUUGAUUUUUGAGACUAGCAUGGGACGUGCUCUUAUCGCAGGCCAGCCAAUACAGGUAUCCUUUAACUUUUACCCCCAGCAUAUGGAGGAGGAGCUUCGGAUGCUGAGUGGGACGUUUGAUACCAUUGGGAUCACAUCACUGGGAGCCCAUUGGGGGAUAGUCACUCCCGGCACAAACCAAACGUUUAAAAUGAAUACUACUGAACUACACGUUUAAAAGUACAUUAGACUUUUGAGUUUGUAUGAUUUCCCAAUUAGCAAAAGAGCAUUAUAAGCAUAUUCUGAUUGUUGUUUCAGCAAAGUGAUUGGAAUGAACACAUGAAUGAGUUGUGAGGUGGAUGUGGUUUGACCACUUUAAUAAUGUUGGCAGUAAUGGUUAAGGCUGCAUUUUUACUUUGCAAACCAAAACUUAUCUGCAACUCAUUUGAUCCAACACUCGUCCUUUAAUCACCUUUGCCUUCAAUGGUCAAUCCUUGUUGUGGCUUUUAAUGAAAAAAAACAAAAAUGAAAAUGUGGUCCUUCCUUUGCAAAGCACUAUGAAGGGCCUCAUGUUUGAUCUGCGGUUUAUAAUAAACUUGCCCUGCCUAACUGAACGAUGUCUCUGCUCUCGAUCUUUCAUUCGGCUAAUGAAAGAUUGAUUUUCAAAUCAGAUUUUGGUUUCUGCAAAGCGAUUGGAAUGAACACAUGAAGGAGUUGAGGGGUGGAUGUGGUUUGACCUUGGUUUGACCACUUCAGGCUGCAUUUUAUAUUGCAAACUAAAACCUAACUACAACUUAUUUGAUCUAUA